This 253-nucleotide ribosomal RNA is filed under the name uncultured bacterium. RNAcentral describes it as "partial 16S ribosomal RNA". It matches the Rfam family "Bacterial small subunit ribosomal RNA", at positions 524 to 776 of the family's 1533-position model. The record is from RNAcentral.
UACGUAGGGAGCGAGCGUUGUCCGGAAUUACUGGGUGUAAAGGGAGUGUAGGCGGGAAAACAAGUCAGAUGUGAAAACUAUGGGCUCAACCUGUAGACUGCAUUUGAAACUAUUUUUCUUGAGUGAAGUAGAGGUAAGCGGAAUUCCUAGUGUAGCGGUGAAAUGCGUAGAUAUUAGGAGGAACAUCAGUGGCGAAGGCGGCUUACUGGGCUUUUACUGACGCUGAGGCUCGAAAGCGUGGGGAGCAAACAGG